RNAcentral lists this ribosomal RNA (455 nucleotides) under uncultured bacterium. Its description in RNAcentral is "bacterial SSU rRNA". It matches the Rfam family "Bacterial small subunit ribosomal RNA", at positions 340 to 786 of the family's 1533-position model. The record is from RNAcentral.
UACGGGAGGCAGCAGUGGGGAAUAUUGCACAAUGGGCGCAAGCCUGAUGCAGCCAUGCCGCGUGUAUGAAGAAGGCCUUCGGGUUGUAAAGUACUUUCAGUCGUGAGGAAGGUGUUAAGGUUAAUAACCUUAGCAAUUGACGCUAGCGACAGAAGAAGCACCGGCUAACUCCGUGCCAGCAGCCGCGGUAAUACGGAGGGUGCGAGCGUUAAUCGGAAUUACUGGGCGUAAAGGGCACGCAGGCGGUUAAUUAAGUUGGAUGUGAAAUCCCCGGGCUUAACCUGGGAAUGGCAUUCAAGACUGGUUAGCUAGAGUCUUGUAGAGGGGGUAGAAUUCCAUGUGUAGCGGUGAAAUGCGUAGAGAUGUGGAGGAAUACCGGGUGGCGAAGGCGGCCCCUGGGACAAAGACUGACGCUCAUGUGCGAAAGCGUGGGGAGCAAACAGGGAUUAGAUACC